AUGAUACAAGGGGAGGAAAGGAUCCGUAUGUACAAGGACAACACAGACGAGCUUCUGUCGGUGGCCAACAAGCAGGACACCACGAGCAGAAGCGCCGCUCACACUAGUGUACAUAUGCCACAUCAAAUACCGUCAAAAAUCCUACUACAAGAAGAUGAAAGAAAAAGGAGGAAGCACAAGGGCAAAGAAGAUCAACACGCGCGCGCUCAUACGUACUACUGUACUAGCUCAGCUGCACAACGGCUCGUACCGGGGAGCAGACGGAGGCAGAGCAACCUGGAUGGAUGGAUCGCCGGCUCAUCACCAGCCGUAGACGGCGCGGGAGCACUUGACCUUGAUCCACUUGACGCUGCGCCGCACCGACCCCUUCACCUUGCCCUCCACGUCGUACACCUUGUAGGCCACCAGCCGCUUCUUCCUCUGCAGCUCCGCGUCCGCGUCAUCCGUCUUGGCCGGGGCCGGGGCCGGGGCCUCGUUGUCGACCAAUGCGGAGAAGGACGGGGUGUAGCUCCUCAGGUUGAGGGAGCGGCGGCCGGCGGAGGACCAGGUGGCUGCGGUGGUGGUGGCGGCGUUGGGCCCCUUGGCCUGGGCGGCGCCGUCGGAGAAAGGCUUGUAGGAGGCGGCGUAGGAGGCGCUGUAGCACCGGAGGUUCAGCCCCGGGGUGGGGCCGGGGCCGGCGCCGGAGACGGUCCUCGUGCUGCCGCUCCGCUGCACGGCGGUCGCCGCCGCGGGGCGCGACAGGGAGGUGGUGCUCCUGGCGCGCUGCACCUUGGUGGGCGCGUAGGAGACGGCGUAGGAGGCGCUGUGGCAGCGGAGGUCGUUGGCCGGCGCGGCGGCGGCGGCGGUGCUCCUCUCGGCCAGCGACACCGACCUCUCCAUUGGCAUCUUGUUGCGCGGGUGUGGUCACUCUCUUGUCCGCGGAGCUCUGGCGUGAGGAACUGA
Molecule: ribosomal RNA, 942 nt
Filed under: Triticum aestivum (bread wheat)
Lineage: Eukaryota; Viridiplantae; Streptophyta; Magnoliopsida; Poales; Poaceae
Description: partial small subunit ribosomal RNA
Source: RNAcentral